This 446-nucleotide ribosomal RNA is filed under the name uncultured bacterium. RNAcentral's name for it is "partial 16S ribosomal RNA". It matches the Rfam family "Bacterial small subunit ribosomal RNA", at positions 338 to 795 of the family's 1533-position model. The record is from RNAcentral.
CCUACGGGCGGCAGCAGUCGAGAAUCAUUCACAAUGGGGGAAACCCUGAUGGUGCGACGCCGCGUGGGGGAAUGAAGGUCUUCGGAUUGUAAACCCCUGUCAUGUGGGAGCAAAUUAAAAAGAUAGUACCACAAGAGGAAGAGACGGCUAACUCUGUGCCAGCAGCCGCGGUAAUACAGAGGUCUCAAGCGUUGUUCGGAAUCACUGGGCGUAAAGCGUGCGUAGGCUGUUUCGUAAGUCGUGUGUGAAAGGCGAGGGCUCAACCCGCGGACGGAACAUGAUACUGCGAGACUAGAGUAAUGGAGGGGGAACCGGAAUUCUCGGUGUAGCAGUGAAAUGCGUAGAUAUCGAGAGGAACACUCGUGGCGAAGGCGGGUUCCUGGACAUUAACUGACGCUGAGGCACGAAGGCCAGGGGAGCGAAAGGGAUUAGAUACCCGAGUAGUC